Molecule: ribosomal RNA, 484 nt
Filed under: uncultured bacterium
Lineage: Bacteria
Description: partial 16S ribosomal RNA
Rfam family: Bacterial small subunit ribosomal RNA
Source: RNAcentral
AUUGAACGCUGGCGGCAUGCUUUACACAUGCGAGUCGAACGGCAGCGCGGGCUUCGGCCUGGAGGCGAGUGGCGAAUGGGUGAGUAAUGCAUCGGAACGUGCCCAGUAGUGGGGGAUAGCCCGGCGAAAGCCGGAUUAAUACCGCAUACGACCUGAGGGUGAAAGCGGGGGACCGAAAGGCCUCGCGCUUUUGGAGCGGCCCAUGUCGGAUUAGCUCGUUGGUGGGGUAAGGGCUUACCGAGGCGCCGAUCCGUAGCUGGUCUGAGAGGACGACCAGCCCCGUUAGGGAUGAGGCGCCGCCCGGCCUCCUGCGGGAGGCAGCAGUGGGGAAUUUUGGACAUUGGGGCCAAGCUUGGUCCAGCCACGCCGCGUCCGGGAAGAAGGCCUUCGGGUUGUAAACCGCUUUUGUUCGGGAGAAAAUCCUCUGGGCUAAUACCCCGGGGGGAUGACGGUACCGGGAGAAUAAGCACCGGCUAACUACGUG